RNAcentral lists this small nuclear RNA (23 nucleotides) under Arabidopsis thaliana (thale cress). RNAcentral's name for it is "snRNA_09728". Lineage: Eukaryota; Viridiplantae; Streptophyta; Magnoliopsida; Brassicales; Brassicaceae. The record is from RNAcentral.
CCGGAUCUUCCUGUCAUUGCUUC